AAAUUGAAGAGUUUGAUCAUGGCUCAGAUUGAACGCUGGCGGCAGGCCUAACACAUGCAAGUCGAGCGGUAGCACAGAGAGCUUGCUCUCGGGUGACGAGCGGCGGACGGGUGAGUAAUGUCUGGGAAACUGCCUGAUGGAGGGGGAUAACUACUGGAAACGGUAGCUAAUACCGCAUAAUGUCGCAAGACCAAAGUGGGGGACCUUCGGGCCUCAUGCCAUCAGAUGUGCCCAGAUGGGAUUAGCUAGUAGGUGGGGUAACGGCUCACCUAGGCGACGAUCCCUAGCUGGUCUGAGAGGAUGACCAGCCACACUGGAACUGAGACACGGUCCAGACUCCUACGGGAGGCAGCAGUGGGGAAUAUUGCACAAUGGGCGCAAGCCUGAUGCAGCCAUGCCGCGUGUGUGAAGAAGGCCUUCGGGUUGUAAAGCACUUUCAGCGGGGAGGAAGGCGAUAAGGUUAAUAACCUUGUCGAUUGACGUUACCCGCAGAAGAAGCACCGGCUAACUCCGUGCCAGCAGCCGCGGUAAUACGGAGGGUGCAAGCGUUAAUCGGAAUUACUGGGCGUAAAGCGCACGCAGGCGGUCUGUCAAGUCGGAUGUGAAAUCCCCGGGCUCAACCUGGGAACUGCAUUCGAAACUGGCAGGCUAGAGUCUUGUAGAGGGGGGUAGAAUUCCAGGUGUAGCGGUGAAAUGCGUAGAGAUCUGGAGGAAUACCGGUGGCGAAGGCGGCCCCCUGGACAAAGACUGACGCUCAGGUGCGAAAGCGUGGGGAGCAAACAGGAUUAGAUACCCUGGUAGUCCACGCCGUAAACGAUGUCGAUUUGGAGGUUGUGCCCUUGAGGCGUGGCUUCCGGAGCUAACGCGUUAAAUCGACCGCCUGGGGAGUACGGCCGCAAGGUUAAAACUCAAAUGAAUUGACGGGGGCCCGCACAAGCGGUGGAGCAUGUGGUUUAAUUCGAUGCAACGCGAAGAACCUUACCUGGUCUUGACAUCCACAGAACUUUCCAGAGAUGGAUUGGUGCCUUCGGGAACUGUGAGACAGGUGCUGCAUGGCUGUCGUCAGCUCGUGUUGUGAAAUGUUGGGUUAAGUCCCGCAACGAGCGCAACCCUUAUCCUUUGUUGCCAGCGGUCCGGCCGGGAACUCAAAGGAGACUGCCAGUGAUAAACUGGAGGAAGGUGGGGAUGACGUCAAGUCAUCAUGGCCCUUACGACCAGGGCUACACACGUGCUACAAUGGCAUAUACAAAGAGAAGCGACCUCGCGAGAGCAAGCGGACCUCAUAAAGUAUGUCGUAGUCCGGAUUGGAGUCUGCAACUCGACUCCAUGAAGUCGGAAUCGCUAGUAAUCGUAGAUCAGAAUGCUACGGUGAAUACGUUCCCGGGCCUUGUACACACCGCCCGUCACACCAUGGGAGUGGGUUGCAAAAGAAGUAGGUAGCUUAACCUUCGGGAGGGCGCUUACCACUUUGUGAUUCAUGACUGGGGUGAAGUCGUAACAAGGUAACCGUAGGGGAACCUGCGGUUGGAUCACCUCCUUACCUUAAAGAA
Molecule: ribosomal RNA, 1550 nt
Filed under: Klebsiella pneumoniae
Lineage: Bacteria; Pseudomonadati; Pseudomonadota; Gammaproteobacteria; Enterobacterales; Enterobacteriaceae
Also listed under: 1 other name
Description: bacterial SSU rRNA
Rfam family: Bacterial small subunit ribosomal RNA
Source: RNAcentral